Molecule: ribosomal RNA, 482 nt
Filed under: uncultured bacterium
Lineage: Bacteria
Description: partial 16S ribosomal RNA
Rfam family: Bacterial small subunit ribosomal RNA
Source: RNAcentral
GACGAACGCUGGCGGCGUGCUUAACACAUGCAAGUCGAACGCUGAAGCUCAGCUUGCUGGGUGGAUGAGUGGCGAACGGGUGAGUAACACGUGAGUAACCUGACCUCUUCUUUGGGAUAACGCCCGGAAACGGGUGCUAAUACUGGAUAUUCACUGAUUCUCGCAUGGGGGUGGGUGGGAAGGUUGUUUCUGGUGGGGGAUGGGCUCGCGGCCUAUCAGCUUGUUGGUGGGGUGAUGGCCUACCAAGGCUUUGACGGGUAGCCGGCCUGAGAGGGUGACCGGUCACAUUGGGACUGAGAUACGGCCCAGACUCCUACGGGAGGCAGCAGUGGGGAAUAUUGCACGAUGGGCGAAAGCCUGAUGCAGCGACGCCGCGUGAGGGAUGGAGGCCUUCGGGUUGUAAACCUCUUUCGCUCAUGGUCAAGCCGCAGCUUUGGGUUGUGGUGAGGGUAGUGGGUAAAGAAGCGCCGGCUAACUACGUG